GAGAGGGGAAAAAAAAAAAACAAAACAACUUUAAAGAACUGGUUUAUUUCCAGGCACCUCCUUUGGUAUCUCCAGGCAUCACAUUAGCAUAGAGCUCUCAUUUGCAAACCACACACAUCAGAGACCCUGAGGAUAAACCAGAUGUUGAUCAGAAGAUAUAGUACCAAGUACCACUGCUGUGGUUUUUCAGAAGCCAGGCUCCGUUUAGUCUUCUUCCUCACAUUCAUGUGUGACGCAACACCUGGACUCCUUGGGACAGCUGGCUUAAUAGAAUUGUAAAUGUCACUGUCUUUUUCUCUGCUUGGUUUUAUAUUUGGUUCUUUUAAUAAAACAGCCAUUAUUUGACUCACUCUCUUUGUCUCUCCUUGAUGUUAUAUCUCGUUCUGUUUUAAAAAACAGCCACUGUGACUAUCAGGGCUGAAGCUUCAUCAGGACCUAGAGAAGACAGGCACUCUGUUACAGUGCUGUUUGGGAGAGGUAUGUUUUAACGAGCUUUUAACUUUAAAGUGCUGUCCCCUUCCAGAAGUGCCAUUUCCAGUCAGAUAAAUGGGGGGAAAGGAUCACACACCAGAAAGGAUAUAUAUCCUCACAGUACUUCUUUAAGACUUUUAGAAAGCAUACUAGAAAACACAAAAUAUAUAAUUUAAAAAACCAGGCCCAGCAAGCUCUAACACCUCAUCAAGAGAAAUACCCUGCACUGUAUUCCCAUAGCUCCCUGGCUGUAACACUACAAAACACUGAAUUUUUUAGCCAAAACUUACUAAAAACAAUUGCUGAGAAUACAGAGAUUUGUUUUUUUCGGACCAUUUAAGAUUUUAACAAACGCAAGGCAUUCGAGGGAGCACACGUCUACGAGAACGGAAAUUCUGAUGGAGCUUUGUCUGUCUGGUUCAGUGGUUUCCCAGCAUGUAGAACAAUGCCCAGCAUAAUAGGAAAAUGUUCCCUGGAAUAAUUCUGCUCCCAUGUGUUUCAAGCCAACUUCUCUUUAAUAUAUGGAAUGGCAAAAAACUUAAUAACUCAAACACUCAGGCUAUGGGAUGAAAGAUGCCAGAACCAGAUUGAUGUAUUAAUACCUUCAGUUUCCUUUGGGGUAAAAGGAUUGGAGUGGGAACACUCAUCUCUUGCUGUUUGCAACACUUCUUUCCUCCUGCCUGAAUUUUUCAGGAAGAAAAUGUUUACUCACAUACCUCCACUGUUACACAAGACAGUGGAAGCUGGAGCCAGAGAAAGGCACAGAGAUGGAUUGAAAGCUGGUAGGAAUGGGGUGUGGCAGUUUUAAUAGCAGGGCAGAGGGUAUCUUCAGCGAAGAAAUAAAAGCGGGCAUAAUUACUAGUGGCCAAUUGUAGGAAGUGGUGACUAGGUUUCCACUUUGAGCUCUUUGACUGCAGUGUCUCCUGUUUUGUUCCUGCCAUCUGGGAAGUAAAGGACAUGCUUUAACUGCUGGGAAGCAGGUGCGCAGUCCUCCACAGCUCUGCGAGGUAGAUACUGUCAUCCCCAGUUUACAGAAAGGAAAACAGACUGAGAGUCAAGUACACACGGCUGCCUCCACGUUUUACCGCCUCCAGCCUAAUUCAAAGAAAAGGGGAGAAGGGGCAAGAGCUUCCUGCCUUGGCGACAUGGCCGGCAAAACAGAGAAGCAAGACUCGCCUGUCAGUCCUACCCUGAACACACAUCAAUCAAGUCAACAGGCUUACAAACCUCUGUAAUAUUAUAAGGCCCAUUAACUCACCCUAACUGUAGCCUGAUUUAAUUAAUUGUUUCCACUCUUGGCAUUAACUUCACUGAAAAUAGCAAAAUGCUGAUUGAAAAAACAAGUGUAUCCCUUUUCUUUAGAUAACGUCAGUCACUGUGUACUGAACCAGUACA
Odocoileus virginianus texanus is the source of this 1866-nucleotide long non-coding RNA. RefSeq lists it as uncharacterized. NCBI's taxonomy places the organism in Eukaryota, Metazoa, Chordata, Mammalia, Artiodactyla, Cervidae. The record is from RefSeq and is a predicted model, not a curated record.